Molecule: long non-coding RNA, 304 nt
Filed under: Lathyrus oleraceus (garden pea)
Lineage: Eukaryota; Viridiplantae; Streptophyta; Magnoliopsida; Fabales; Fabaceae
Description: Pisum sativum (pea) long non-coding RNA (PSAT_LNC011766)
Source: RNAcentral
UAAUGUACAUUGGGCGACGCUUGAGCUGACAUCUCAAAAUGGACAGAUAAGCCAAUCAAUAAUGUACAUUGGGCGAUGCUUGAGCUGAUAUCUCAAAGUGAAAAUAGAAGGAUUUUUCUUCUUUUUCAAUUUUACAUCACCAUCGACCUUUUUUCCUGAUGCAUCAUGUCUUUUCUCUAAUAAAACAACAUAAAAAAUCCAUCUUCCUGCAACUUCACUAUACCAUACACACAAGACUCCAUCCUCAUAAAAGAUUCUCUCCCUCACCAUAAAAACUCCUUUUCACUCUCCAUACAAAAACUAA